RNAcentral lists this ribosomal RNA (774 nucleotides) under uncultured Neocallimastigales. RNAcentral describes it as "partial large subunit ribosomal RNA". It matches the Rfam family "Eukaryotic large subunit ribosomal RNA", at positions 24 to 611 of the family's 3401-position model. The record is from RNAcentral. Lineage: Eukaryota; Fungi; Neocallimastigomycota; Neocallimastigomycetes; Neocallimastigales.
UAUCUCUGUAGAGUCUGCAUAUCAAUAAGCGGAGGAAAAGAAACUAACAAGGAUUCCCUUAGUAACGGCGAGUGAAGCGGGAAGAGCUCAAAUUUGAAAUCUUCAAGGUUUUACCUUGACGAAUUGUAGUUUAAAGAAGUGUUUUCUGUUGAAGUUUCGGUAAAAGUUCUUUGGAAUAGGACAUCAUAGAGGGUGAGAAUCCCGUAUUUGACCGUUAUUUUCAGCUGUGUGAUACACUUCAAAGAGUCGGAUUGUUUGGGAAUGCAGUCCAAAAUGGGUGGUAAAUUUCAUCUAAAGCUAAAUAUUGGCGAGAGACCGAUAGCGAACAAGUACCGUGAGGGAAAGAUGAAAAGAACUUUGAAAAGAGAGUUAAACAGUACGUGAAAUUGUCAAAAGGGAAGCGUUUGACACCAGUGUUGUCUUCUCGAAAAUCAAUUAAAAAUGGCUUGAUUUUGUGUUGUAUUGACCUUAAAAGCUUUCUGCACUUUUUUCAUGUCUUUUUUAAUGCACUUUUCGUUUAACAAGUCAACAUCAGUUUCUUUUGUUGUAAAAAGGUCAUUGGAAGGUGGCUUUCUUUUCGGAGAAAGUGUUUAUAGCCUUUGACUCCUGCAAUCGGAGAGACUGAGGUCUGCAGCGUAGAUCCUUCUUGGAUUAGAUUCAUUUGUGCUAAGUUAUAGCUUUUUAUAGACAACUUGUUGACUAUAUUUAGUCUUGUAGCUUACUCGCUUAUGCAAUUUUACCUACGCUUAGGAUGUUGAACGCGCACAGAGUCUC